Molecule: transfer RNA, 72 nt
Filed under: Ictidomys tridecemlineatus (thirteen-lined ground squirrel)
Lineage: Eukaryota; Metazoa; Chordata; Mammalia; Rodentia; Sciuridae
Description: Spermophilus tridecemlineatus (thirteen-lined ground squirrel) tRNA
Rfam family: tRNA
About the family: Transfer RNA (tRNA) molecules are approximately 80 nucleotides in length.
Source: Rfam by way of RNAcentral
AGGAAUGUAGCUCAGUUUUAGAGCAUCUGCCUCAUAUGUUGGAGGCCCUGAGUUCAAUCCCCAGCACUGCAA